UACCCUAUUAUUCUUAUACAAAAAAUAUUUAUAAAGCACUAAUACCAUAAGGUAAAAACUUAAAGAAUAUGGCGGCUAAAUUUAACUUCAGGGGAACUUACCAAAUAAUAGAUAACCACCAAGAAACCUUUCUUAUUUUUAUAGUUUGUAUACCGUCAUCAUCAGAAUAUUCAUGAAGUAUAUUCAAGUUGUUUUAACAAAAUGAUAGAUCAUGGUGCAGCUAAUAAAUAAGUUACUGGCGAGUUACAAUAAUUAAGAUUUCAAAAACUAAAUUAACAUAAGUUGAAGUUGGACUUGAAAGUAAUUAAAAUUCUAUUUAAAUUUUGAAUUUUUAAAAUUUAGUGU
RNAcentral lists this ribosomal RNA (345 nucleotides) under Deroceras laeve. RNAcentral's name for it is "partial 16S ribosomal RNA". The record is from RNAcentral. Lineage: Eukaryota; Metazoa; Mollusca; Gastropoda; Stylommatophora; Agriolimacidae.